This is a long non-coding RNA of Etheostoma spectabile (orangethroat darter), 111 nucleotides long. RefSeq lists it as uncharacterized. The record is from RefSeq and is a predicted model, not a curated record. The transcript has 3 exons. NCBI's taxonomy places the organism in Eukaryota, Metazoa, Chordata, Actinopteri, Perciformes, Percidae.
CGCAUUUUUCCAGAAAUCAAUGGGAGAAAUAAAUGGGAAAUUUACUUCCAGAACCCGAGGUCUCUCAGAGGAGGGGCGGGACUGUCGAGCUCUAUAGAAGAACAUGAAUGU